AGAGUUUGAUCCUGGCUCAGGACGAACGCUGGCGGCGUGCCUAACACAUGCAAGUCGAGCGAUGAAGCCCUUCGGGGUGGAUUAGCGGCGGACGGGUGAGUAACACGUGGGUAACCUGCCUUAUAGAGGGGGAUAGCCUUCCGAAAGGAAGAUUAAUACCGCAUAACAUGUUUUUAUCGCAUGGUAGAAACAUCAAAGGA
Molecule: ribosomal RNA, 200 nt
Filed under: uncultured bacterium
Lineage: Bacteria
Description: partial 16S ribosomal RNA
Rfam family: Bacterial small subunit ribosomal RNA
Source: RNAcentral